Molecule: ribosomal RNA, 253 nt
Filed under: uncultured bacterium
Lineage: Bacteria
Description: partial 16S ribosomal RNA
Rfam family: Bacterial small subunit ribosomal RNA
Source: RNAcentral
UACAGAGGGGGCAAGCGUUGUUCGGAAUUACUGGGCGUAAAGGGCGCGUAGGCGGCCUUCUAAGUCGAACGUGAAAUCCCUGGGCUCAACCCAGGAACUGCGUCCGAUACUGACAGGCUCGAAUCCGGGAGAGGGAUGUGGAAUUCCAGGUGUAGCGGUGAAAUGCGUAGAUAUCUGGAGGAACACCGGUGGCGAAGGCGGCAUCCUGGACCGGUAUUGACGCUGAGGCGCGAAAGCCAGGGGAGCAAACGGG